CCUUCGACGACGAGUUACAAGAGUGUGGUAUGUGUCAUAAUCUGGUGAAGCUUUCUGCAUGUGAUGUGCCUUGUGUGGAUCCGUGGCCAUUGCAUUGUGUCUGGUGUGUAGGUACCCAGACACUUAAGCAAACUCGAUCGUUGUACACUGUGAUGGGCGAGCAUCACUGUGUCUCCGUGCCGUGUAAGAGCUCCCCUGGCCAUCAGGCACUUGAAAGGUCCUUCGACGACGAGUUACAAUAGUGGUGUGUUAGAUACGUCAGGUGAUGGUAUCUACUGUUGUGCAAUACGUAUCCGGCCACGGCACGGAACGAACGGGAACUGUGGUGCAGACAUACAAAGAGUUAAGCCUAUUAGUCAUUAACUCUAAGGACGGGGCCAUGGGGCGGUACGCAAAGGAUACGGAUGAGCGAGUAUGCAGGCCCAAUACUCAAUAGCUCGAUCCGAUCCAAGCACAUGAGUUGACUGCGGCGUCAGGUUAACCAAUGUGCAAUACGUAUCCGGCUACGGCACGGAACGAACAGGAACUGUGGUGCAGACAUACAAGGGCCAUGGGGCGGUACGCAAAGGAUACGGAUGAGCGAGUAUGCAGGCCCAAUACUCAAUAGCUCGAUCCGAUCCAAGCACAUGAGUUGACUGCGGCGUCAGGUUAACCAAUGUGCUAGAUUCUAUUUGGCCAGUAGAAUCUUGUGUCUUACGCGAUUUGAUACCAAGACACCAGAACGAAAGUUAGUUGAAGAGUGAUUAAACUCUUAUGAAGAAUGGUUGUGCAAUCACAACUUAUGACUUUAACCUAUAAAGUGGAUAUGGACUAUCAAUUAUAACAUGGGGCACACACCAUGUUCUCGAUCCAAUCCACGCACACGAGUUGCCUGAGUAGCGACAGGUAUACCGAUGUGCAAUACGUAUCCGGCCACGGCACGGAACGAACGGGAACUGUGGUGCAGACAUACAAGGGCCAUGGGGCGGUACGCAAAGGAUACGGAUGAGCGAGUAUGCAGGCCCAAUACUCAAUAGCUCGAUCCGAUCCAAGCACAUGAGUUGACUGCGGCGUCAGGUUAACCAAUGUGCUAGAUUCUAUUUGGCCAGUAGAAUCUUGUGUCUUAUGCGAUUUGAUACCAAGACACCAGAACGAAAGUUAGUUG
Long non-coding RNA from Anopheles funestus (African malaria mosquito), 1144 nucleotides. RefSeq lists it as uncharacterized. The transcript is spliced from 3 exons. The record is from RefSeq and is a predicted model, not a curated record. NCBI's taxonomy places the organism in Eukaryota, Metazoa, Arthropoda, Insecta, Diptera, Culicidae.